Molecule: long non-coding RNA, 1342 nt
Filed under: Lingula anatina
Lineage: Eukaryota; Metazoa; Brachiopoda; Lingulata; Lingulida; Lingulidae
Description: uncharacterized LOC106170877
Source: RNAcentral
AGUCUAUAGCCCUAUUCAGAGCUUAUGUUGAUUUUCUGAUUAAUCCUCAAUUUCAGUGUUUUUGCUGACGAGUUUCUAUGUAAUUUCGGAUAAACAUUACGAAUAUUACAUGCCCCCUAAAUUCGGUAUCCUUUUUCGAUAUUUGUCUGUCUUUCUCUCGUUCUCUCUUUUUCUCUCUCUCUCACAGUGUCCUGGAAAGGACUGAAUGCAGAGCAGAAGAUAAGUUGUAUGUGGAUAGUGCUAGUGCUGUUAUUCCUACCGUUACUAGUGGUUAUCAUUUGUAUACUGGCUGCGGUAGGGAUUAUUCCCGGAAGACAGCCAAACGAUAACCCAGUUGCGGUGAACCUGACAGGUAUUGGCGUUGACAGGGCCACCUAUGACGCCAUAUCCAGCAGCUGCAAGGGCCAGUGGAAGGUGCACUUCCUGGCCUAUAACGCCUCAGAACCCGAUAUCAGCAGCACUGCCGCCCCGCCCACGCCUAGCGCAAAUGGCACGGAUCUGAUCUGCUGCUACAAUUUCACUGACCAUUAUAAAAAUAUGUCCAUAGAAUAACGACCGCUGAUAAUUGAAAAGGGAAACUGUACUUACAACGGCGAGUGUGAAGAUUUAGUUUUCGAAGGCAAAAUGUAUCCGUGCUUUAGCGUGGCAUCAGUUUUGUCAAACAGUAUCGCUAUCAUAGUACGGGUUUUUGUUUUCAUAUCUUGGCUUGUAAUAAAUGCAUAUACUGGGUAGAAUAUUAAUAAAUGAAGUAUUUUUAUGUUUUGCAUUGUAAAUUAUGAUGAAAGUUAGAGGAUUGUGUACUCUGUAUGUUGUUGGCUUGAUUGAAUAUUAGCGUUGCUGGAUGUUCGUCUUUAUAUAAUAUUAAGCGUUCCAAAAUCCCAAACUUCAAAUACCGUUACAAUUUCCAUUUUUUUCGUUACAUAGGCUCAUACGUAUAAAGGCUAAGCAUUGUUUCGUGUUUCGAACAAAAAAUAUAAAAUUAAGAAAAUCUAACCCAGUGUAACUGGUCAAUUCUUUCGUUACUUUUCAAGUUAUAAUUUUCAUUACUUUGAAAUGUGAUUGUUGUCCUUGUAAAUGAGGUGAUUGUUUUAGGUAUAACUUUUUUUAAAGAAUAAGUGAGCCGAAAAAGGUAGAAAUGAGCGUUUAUUAUCCGACUCUAUGUUGAAUGUAAAAAAGGACUGCGAUGAAUGAAAAUAAAAGUGAACAAAGUAACGGAACAAAAUUCUACAAAAUAUGUGUACAAUGAUGGCCUUCUGAAAACUAGUUACAUGUAUAUUCGCGUAGCUCCUACUGUUUCGUCUUUAACUACCAGCACGAUUAUAUACUCGCCACUCCUAUUCCA